RNAcentral lists this long non-coding RNA (1480 nucleotides) under Homo sapiens (human). RNAcentral describes it as "non-protein coding lnc-CDK13-4:1". Lineage: Eukaryota; Metazoa; Chordata; Mammalia; Primates; Hominidae. The record is from RNAcentral.
ACAUGUCUGACAUUCAAGAAGCCACUAACAGCUCCUAGUUGUAAACCUGCAUGAGAACCAGAGGUCUGCACAAGUGACAGAAAGUGACCUCAGAGGUGAGUCUUUUGAGCAAACAGCUGUGGAAGAAGUGAGAGACAAAUUGGGGUCACCAUACAAUCAGCAGAGACCAUGGCAAGAUAUAUUUUGUCAUUUCAGUGAAAAUUUGGCUUAGGUUUAUUGUCCGAGAUCGGUUGAUAACUUAUUUGUGGUUGUUCAGGAGUUUUAAGAUUACUAGUUUAGAAAAACAAAGAAAUUCUAAAGGAUUUUGAAGACUUGGCUGGAAAACUCCCGUGGUCAAACACUUUAAUUUUAUGGAAAAUUAAACAAACAAAAACAAAGCUCAAAAAGAUAAUUCAGAAUUCAAGUAAAAGGAAGGUUCAUGAUGGACAAGAAGUCCAAACAGAUGAAAGAGAUGUUAAAAAAAAGAGUUCAUUCACUACAAUGUUUUAGAUUCACACAUCUUAGAUUAUUGUGAAACUCCAGCCAUCAAAGGAGAUAGCAACAUUAGUAGGUGAUGAUUUGGCAUCUUGCAGAGAUGAGACUGAUGAAAGCAAAAAAGAAGAAACUGAGCCUCAAGUGUAAAGUUUAGAGUCAUGUGCAACAGAGUAGGAGAGAAAUACUGCUUUCCCUCAAAUGAGACUGGAAGAGAUUCUGGGGGUGAUGUUUAAGGCUAUUUUAAGUGGAAGGCCGACAUGACCAAUUUGAUGUUGCGAUUCUUUUGAAUAUCCAUGAUAAUGAAAUCACUGUGGGCAUGGCAUUGACUAAAGCGAGUCUCCACUGAAGACGUAUCACACAUUUUGGACCUAUGACUCUUUUGUACCUAUCAACAUUUUGGACCUAUGGGCACAUUUUGGACCUAUCAACUCUUACCCCUGGGAUACUCAGCCUCUGUGGUCUGCUACCUUAUGUUAUAAUAGUCGAUCCAAUGUGUGGAACAGGGGCAAUACCAAUAGAGGGGACUACUUAAUGUUUUCACGUUAUAUUCUGGUGAUAAUAAUCCUCUGGUUGUGAAUAGAGCAGCAAACAACAUCACAUCUUUAUUGACCAAGAGCCAAAUUAAAGAAGGCUAACCAUCCUUGCCCAUAGAUGCUGUUCAAUGGGAUAAAUGCAAUAUGCCAUUAAGAACUGGCUCUGUGGAUAUUAUUGUGGCAGAUUUGCCAUUUGGAAAAAAGAUGGGAUCCAAGAAGAGAAACUGGAACCUUCAUCCACCUUGCCUAUGGGAGAUGAGUUGCGUCUGUGUACACCUACAACAGGCCAAGCUGUACGAUGUACUCAGGACGCGAAAUGCUUUACCAAAGCAUUAUCUGGCAUGUGAUGUGUAUGGUGAAAAGUGGAUACAGUUCGGGUGAACAUUGGGGGUCUUUGUGCUGCAGUUUAUAUUUUGAAAUGUACACCUCAAGCUUUUGUUCAUCCUUCAGAACAAGAUGGAGAAACAGGAGCU